UUUGGUGGGAAGUCGUGGCUAUACGUUCUAAGCCUUAGAGACGCGGGUUGCUGCAGGCGGUGCGUGGAAUCCCUCCGCUGCAGGCGGACAGGACCCGAGGGGAGAACUCAGGAAUCUGCAUCCGUAGGGCCGCAACCGGAGAAAGGUGCCUCCUGAGAAACCCCGAUGAGGAUCUCAUUGCAGCCACCUAGCCAGCGCUCUGAGCUGUUCCGGGGUGGGGGUGGGAGGGCCAGGGCCGCAGAGACUGGAAACUGAAGGAAGCUAAUGAAGUCCCAGGGCUGGAAGACGGGGCGCGAUGGCCCCAUCAAUCUCUCCCCGACAUUACGUGCAAAACGCUACAGGUCAUAAACGCCAUCUGAUAGCCCAGCCUGGCACUGUCCACACAGGGUGAUGGAUUGAUAAUUAUUAUAAUUUGUGAAAUGA
Long non-coding RNA from Hyaena hyaena (striped hyena), 423 nucleotides. RefSeq lists it as uncharacterized. The transcript has 2 exons. NCBI's taxonomy places the organism in Eukaryota, Metazoa, Chordata, Mammalia, Carnivora, Hyaenidae. The record is from RefSeq and is a predicted model, not a curated record.